UGCUUGGGAGUGGGGAGGCGGGGGGGCAGUCUAUGAAUGAGCCAAUACACCCUAGAAGAGUUGGGACCAGUUCAGUCGGUCUUUUGUAGAGAAUGAACGUUCACCUUUGGAAGGAGGUCCCCUGAGCAGAAUCAGAAUGUAGUGUCCCUGCCAGGUUGCUCUCUUGCCUUGCAGAGGACACAGAAGCCCUGCCCUUCUGUUCACACUCACAAGAGCCCCUCUGGGUGAAGCUUCCUCCUGCUGGCAUUGCCAUGGCCACCAAGCUCCUCUGCUGUGUGGCUCUGUGUCUCCUGGGAGUAGGGCCCACAGAUGCUGGAGUCACCCAGACCCCUAGGCAUGAGGUGACAGAAAAGGGACAGGCGGUCACUCUGAGUUGUGAGCCGAUUAAAAGCCACGCUGCCCUUUUUUGGUACAGACAGACCUCGGUGCGGGGACUGGAGCUGCUAAUUUAUUUCAACAACCAAGCUCCUAUCGACGAGUCGGGGAUGCCCAAGGACCGAUUCUCAGCUAAAAUGCCUAACGCGUCGUUCUCCACUCUGAAGAUCCAGCCCACAGAUCCUGGGGACUCGGCCACGUACCUCAGUGCCAGCAGCAAAGACACAGCACUGCAGAGUCGCCCCGUCCCGAGCAGAAAACCUCUGCUUCCCCUUCCGGCUCAGCCCCUAGCUCAUCAGCUGUCUUCUUAGGCUCCUCCCCUAGCAGCCCAGCGGUUCAGCUUUCUAUGACCCUAGGGAAGGCAAGAAUAGAAUGAAACAACCCAUCACAUUAGGAAAUAUUUGGAGGGAAGGCAGGAGAGGGCUUGGUUUCUGGCAUUUCUCACAACUUUUUCACAGAGGGUGACAGUUCACUUGAUGUUGUCAUUGUUCAGUCACUCAGUCAUGUCCGACUCUUUGCGACCCCAUGGAUUGCAGCAUGCCAGGCU
Bubalus bubalis (water buffalo) is the source of this 922-nucleotide non-coding RNA. The record is from the annotation of a RefSeq genome assembly. Lineage: Eukaryota; Metazoa; Chordata; Mammalia; Artiodactyla; Bovidae.